AUAGCUCAGCAGCAUAGCGCCUGCCUGGCAAGCAUGAGACCCUGGAUUCGAGUCCCAGU
Molecule: transfer RNA, 59 nt
Filed under: Cavia porcellus (domestic guinea pig)
Lineage: Eukaryota; Metazoa; Chordata; Mammalia; Rodentia; Caviidae
Rfam family: tRNA
About the family: Transfer RNA (tRNA) molecules are approximately 80 nucleotides in length.
Source: Rfam by way of RNAcentral